CGUUUGAUUACAAGUAGGAAAAUUACAUGGAAAGAAAAUGAAUUCCAAGGAAUUGAAUUACCUAGAAAUUGUUUUCAUGGAAAUUGUAAAUUAUUGUGUUUGAUUGUAUAAAUUUUUCACAUGGAAAAUGUUGAAGUAAAAGUAUUUUUUGAUGUUCGUUUGACUUUGUUUUACGUGGAAAUUGUCAAUUUCAGGGAUAUCCUCUUUUACAAUUAUUCCUAAAAUUUGUUCCCAUUGCCAACAAUUA
RNAcentral lists this long non-coding RNA (247 nucleotides) under Olea europaea (common olive). RNAcentral describes it as "long non-coding RNA (OEUR_LNC001043)". The record is from RNAcentral. Lineage: Eukaryota; Viridiplantae; Streptophyta; Magnoliopsida; Lamiales; Oleaceae.